AAGAAUUCAAUACUCAUAGGUGAAUAUUUGAACCGACGAUUAACACGGCAUUCUGUUCAUGGAGUUCUUAAAACUCUGAAAUGUAUUCUCAACUUGGUUAACAGAGGAUCCAGGAGCUACAGAAUAUAUCUAAGGAAACAUGAUGAACAUAUAAAGAACGCCCCGGAAUUUGCAACACAAAAGAACGCUUAUUCUGGGACCGCUCUUUUAG
Molecule: long non-coding RNA, 211 nt
Organism: Eurytemora carolleeae
Lineage: Eukaryota; Metazoa; Arthropoda; Copepoda; Calanoida; Temoridae
Exons: 3
Source: RefSeq, a predicted model, not a curated record